This 20-nucleotide non-coding RNA is filed under the name Arabidopsis thaliana (thale cress). The record is from RNAcentral. Lineage: Eukaryota; Viridiplantae; Streptophyta; Magnoliopsida; Brassicales; Brassicaceae.
GUCAUUCUGGUGGUGGUGGA